GAUAAACGCUAGCGGCAGGCUUAAUACAUGCAAGUCGAACGGCAGCACGGGUAGCAAUACCUGGUGGCGAGUGGCGCACGGGUGCGUAACGCGUAUGCAACCUACCUUUGACUGGAGAAUAGCCCCGAGAAAUCGGGAUUAAUACUCCAUAAUAUUAUGAAGUGGCAUCACUUUAUAAUUAAAGCUCCGGCGGCCUUAGAUGGGCAUGCGUGACAUUAGCUAGUUGGUGAGGUAACGGCUCACCAAGGCUACGAUGUCUAGGGGUUCUGAGAGGAUUUUCCCCCACACUGGUACUGAGACACGGACCAGACUCCUACGGGAGGCAGCAGUAAGGAAUAUUGGGCAAUGGACGCAAGUCUGACCCAGCCGUGCCGCGUGCAGGAUGACAGCCCUACGGGUUGUAAACUGCUUUUAUACGGGAAAAAACCCCUGCACGAGUUGCGGGGUUGAUGGUACCGUAAGAAUAAGCAUCGGCUAACUCCGU
RNAcentral lists this ribosomal RNA (484 nucleotides) under uncultured Flavobacteriales bacterium. RNAcentral describes it as "bacterial SSU rRNA". It matches the Rfam family "Bacterial small subunit ribosomal RNA", at positions 28 to 506 of the family's 1533-position model. The record is from RNAcentral. Lineage: Bacteria; Pseudomonadati; Bacteroidota; Flavobacteriia; Flavobacteriales.